GACGAACGCGGCGGCGUGCCUAAUACAUGCAAGUAGAACGCACAGUUUAUACCGUAGCUUGCUACACCAUAGACUUGAGUUGCGAACGGGUGAGUAACGCGUAGGUAACCUGCCUGGUAGCGGGGGAUAACUAUUGGAAACGAUAGCUAAUACCGCAUAAUAUUAAUUAUUGCAUGAUAAUUGAUUGAAAGAUGCAACUGCAUCACUACCAGAUGGACCUGCGUUGUAUUAGCUAGUAGGUGAGGUAACGGCUCACCUAGGCGACGAUACAUAGCCGACCUGAGAGGGUGAUCGGCCACACUGGGACUGAGACACGGCCCAGACUCCUACGGGAGGCAGCAGUAGGGAAUCUUCGGCAAUGGGGGGAACCCUGACCGAGCAACGCCGCGUGAGUGAAGAAGGUUUUCGGAU
Molecule: ribosomal RNA, 411 nt
Filed under: Streptococcus gordonii
Lineage: Bacteria; Bacillati; Bacillota; Bacilli; Lactobacillales; Streptococcaceae
Description: bacterial SSU rRNA
Rfam family: Bacterial small subunit ribosomal RNA
Source: RNAcentral